UAGGGAAUCUUCCACAAUGGACGCAAGUCUGAUGGAGCAACGCCGCGUGAGUGAAGAAGGUCUUCGGAUCGUAAAGCUCUGUUGUUGGUGAAGAAGGAUAGAGGCAGUAACUGGUCUUUAUUUGACGGUAAUCAACCAGAAAGUCACGGCUAACUACGUGCCAGCAGCCGCGGUAAUACGUAGGUGGCAAGCGUUGUCCGGAUUUAUUGGGCGUAAAGCGAGCGCAGGCGGAAUGAUAAGUCUGAUGUGAAAGCCCACGGCUCAACCGUGGAACUGCAUCGGAAACUGUCAUUCUUGAGUGCAGAAGAGGAGAGUGGAACUCCAUGUGUAGCGGUGGAACGCGUAGAUAUAUGGAAGAACACCAGUGGCGAAGGCGGCUCUCUGGUCUGCAACUGACGCUGAGGCUCGAAAGCAUGGGUAGCGAACAGGAUUAGAUACCCUGGUAGUCCAUGCCGUAAACG
Molecule: ribosomal RNA, 461 nt
Filed under: uncultured bacterium
Lineage: Bacteria
Description: partial 16S ribosomal RNA
Rfam family: Bacterial small subunit ribosomal RNA
Source: RNAcentral